RNAcentral lists this ribosomal RNA (248 nucleotides) under uncultured bacterium. RNAcentral's name for it is "partial 16S ribosomal RNA". It matches the Rfam family "Bacterial small subunit ribosomal RNA", at positions 15 to 244 of the family's 1533-position model. The record is from RNAcentral.
GAUCCUGGCUCAGGACGAACGCUGGCGGCGUGCCUAACACAUGCAAGUCGAACGGAGAAUUUUAUUUCGGUAGAAUUCUUAGUGGCGAACGGGUGAGUAACGCGUAGGCAACCUACCCUUUAGACGGGGACAACAUUCCGAAAGGAGUGCGUAAUACCGGAUGUGAUCAUCGUGCCGCAUGGGCAGGAUGAAGAAAGAUGGCCUCUACAAGUAAGCUAUCGCUAAAGGAUGGGCCUGCGUCUGAUUAG